CUCCAGAUAGAGGCCCAAACUCAGGUUAGGCUGACAUUCUUUUUAUCCUCGAUUCUGCUGAGUCACUCUGAGAAGGCAAAUAUUGUCAGAAGCCUUGCGUCUGAGUGCUGGGCGUACCAAACUGGUUGGAAAGGAGGUGGCUGGGAAACACCUACUCUAGGCUUUUGGUGUUUCUUUUCCUGCAGAGGGUACUUCACUAGAACAACUUUUCUGAUUGUUUAUUCCUUUGCAUACUCCUCUCUAGGAGAAGUGAAGUGGCUUAUGCUUUUCAUCCAUUUCAAAGCCCCCUCCUCUCAUCUUUUCUCCCCUCUUUGGGACCCAGCUGCCAAGGAACAGGCUUUCUGUCCCAUCCCCACAUGCUGUAUGUUUCACAUGGUUCCUUUGCCUGCAUUAAGCAUUCGGAAGUCAAGAAACGAAGAAUGUGGUUUCUUGGGCUGCUUCAAAAGCCAAAAUUAAGGUAAUCUUGGGAAAGUCACUUAAACUCUGUUUCUGCAUCAGUAAAAAAAGAGAGGGAAAUUACCACUGUUUUAGUGUUCCUUGAUUCACAAAAUAUUUAUGGAACACCUUUUACAUUUACUGAAUGUCCAGUAUGUGUCAAGAGCUGUUUGAGGUCCUAGGACUGUCCCAGAUACUAUGGGGGCAUCUAUGGACAUACAAAAUAAAAAGAAUUCCUACUUGCAUAGUGUUCACAAUCCAGAACAGAGCUAUAAUAUAAUACUUCAAGUGCCAUGAUAGGAGUACAGGGGAGAGAACACCUAACUUUUCCCAGGUGGAAUUCAAGGAGAGAAAACAAUAGAUAUUUUUUCUUAAAUCAUCUCCCCACAACAAAUCUUUUACUAAACUCGUUUUUCUUUUUAUUUCUACUCAGUUUCUAGGAAAUACAUUAAUCAAACAUAGAAAUAGAAAAAAAAUAAAGAAUCUGGCUAAGCUAUGUACUAUCAUUGAUCUUUAAAAAACUAAGAAUUGACUAGCCUGACAUGUGCCAGCCUGCUACUGCUGCCAUAGCAAAGUACUACAAACUGGGAGGCUGAAACGACAGAAAUAAACUUCUCACAGAUCUGGACACUAAAAGUCUGAGAUCAUGUCUAAGUAUCAGCAGGGCUGGUUCCUUCUGAAGCCCUUCUCCUUGACUUGUAGAUAGCUACCUUCUCCCCGAAUCUUCCUAUGGUCUUCCUUCUGAGUAUGCUGUAUCCUCAUCUUUUCUUCUAAUAAGGACACCAGUCAUAUUGACUUAGGGCCCUUUCUAAUGACCUUAUUUAUUUAUUACUUCUUUGACGCUCUGUUUUCAAAUACAGUCACAUUCUGAGUUAACUGGGGUUAAAGACUUGAACAUGUCAAUUCUGGGGAAACACAAUUCAGCCCAUAGCAGACAGCCACAUGAAACUUCUCUACCAGCAAUCAGGAACUUAGCCAUGAUCUUGAGAAUCAAGAGUUCUGAGCAUCCCUUCCCAGAUGUUAAUGACUUGCCAAAUGGUCCUUAGGAAGUACGUCAUUUUCCUCACCUACAAAUUCCCUCUAUUCUAUAAAAUCUACUGGAACUAUGUAUUUCAGAUGGUUUUUAUGUAGGAAACUAUGUAAUUAUAAAAUGGUUAGAAAACUGGUGACUCAUUAAAAUUGUCCUGUUUAUUUUUAUUAGAGCAAAAAAUUUAGCUUAAAGGAUAUUGGUAUAAAAUACAUUCUUAAUCUCACUUGUGUUUACUUUUUCUUUCUCUUUUAUUCCACAUAAUGUUAAGAACUGUGAUGGGGGCAGAAGGGAGAAAUGAAAGAAUAGAUUCAAAAACUGAAUUCAUGCAGCUGUUCUCAUUUAGCUGUAUUCUCUGCUUAGUAUUUUUUUUUGGAAAUUAUAGAAACUGUUGAAAGAAGGUGUUGCAAAAAUGGAAAGCUCUUAGCAGAUGUUUUGCUUUUGGUAAGAGAUCUUGCUGGAAAUAUAUCUUGCAUCUGAAAUGAUCUAAACUUGAGCAUAGAGCUUAACGCAUAUUAGAAUUCCAUUGAUUAAAAAUCUGCCAUAUCCUUUGGCAUGUCUGUGAUAUGCCUACAGAUGGGUUUGGAACUUUACCAUUAACUUAUGCAAUAUGAAUGAAGUCUGGAACAAAAUGACCUUUUAUCUUUAGGCCUUGAUCUUCUUUGUCAUCCUUAUCAUAGUCUACUUUCCUGCCUUUAUUCUCAAAUAUAUUUUAUCUUUAUUGUCUUUCUUCUCUGUAUUUUAUUUCACAUCUCAAUAGAUGUCUUUUCUCAGUUCUAGAAAGUUUUUAGAGCAGAACUCCCAGGAAAUAAAGUUAGCCAAAUUAAAUAUACCCAAUUUCAUAGGCAAAUGUGACCAAAGAAGCAAUUCAUUUGGAGAUGCAUGUAGUAUUUCAUACUUUACCAGGUAAAAAAAAAUCUCUAUUAGAGAAUAUCUUAGUUCUAAUAAAAAUUUAAUUAUGGGGAUUUUGUUUUUUUCCUUUAACUUUGAUGUUACUAAAGUGUUGAGAGGAUUUUGAAUUUGGGAAACAAUCAAUCAUUCUAUGUCCCAUUAUGUCUUGCCAUGUAAGUCUCAUGUUUAGUCCCAUGAGACACACAGUUUCUCAAAGAACUUAAAUUUUAGUGAAACAAUCAAUUUAUGAAAAAAAAGCCUUACUUAAUUUCAACUGCUUCACUCUACCUGUAUAAUUAAUUAAAUUUGGAAAUAUUGAUUAGUAAAAUAGUUGCUAGGCAAAUUUAUUUUCCCCAUUCUCAUUCCAGGUUUUUCUGCCUUUUUAAUCACAGUGUUUGAUGUGGUGAUUCAGUGGUAAAUCAGUGGAGAAUAUGAGGAAUCAAAAUUAUAUACUUACCCUUUUUCUCUAGAAAAGCAUUGUCUAUUUAACCAUGUCAAUAAUACAAACAAUGAUAAUAAUAACAAUAGUAAUAUUAACAUCUAGCUUUCAUUGUGCACUUACUGCCUGUCAGAUAGUAGGCAAUUAUUACCUCAUUUAAACCUAACAUGAGAAUUUACUGUUAUUCUAAUUUUACAAAAAAAAUCCUAAAAUAUUAGAAAGACCUGGCAUCAUGCAACUACUGAAAAGCAAAGCCAAGUAUUCUUCCUCCAAAGUACCCUCUCACCAUCUCUAAUCAUUUUGAUGUAAUAGCCAGUAGACACAUCUAACUUGUAUUAUCUAUUCACUUGAAAAGGAAAUUUUUGAUUGAUUAUAAACACAAUUUAUUAUCUUAAAGCUCCUCUCCUCUAAAACAUUUUUCCAACAAAUGUUUAAGAAAAGGUAUUUUAAGCCAGGCCCAGUGACUCAUGCCUAUAAUCUCAGCAUUUCAGGAGGCUGAAGUAGGAGAAUCAUUUGAACCCAGGAGUUUGAGACCCACCUGGGCAACACAAGGAGACCCCUGUCUUUACAACUUUUUAAAAACUAGCAGGGCUUGGUGGUGCAUACCUGUGGUUCCAGCUACUUUGGAGGCUGAGGCAGGAGGAUCACUUGAGCCCAGGAAAUCGAGGCUGCAGUGAGCCAUGAUUGUGGCACUGCACUCCAGUGUGGGCAACAGAGCAAGAGCCUGUUUCAAAAAAAAGGAAAAGGAAAAGAAAAGAGAGAAAGAAAAGAAAAGGUAUUUUACAUCAUUUUUAUAAAAAUGUAAAUUGACUUAGAAAAAAUGUACUUCUCAAAUGCAGGUAAUAAGAGAAAUGGGAAUUAGGUAUUCUGGAAGAAGAGAGAAAUUGUGUUAGAAUAUUAAAAUUUUAAUAAUGCUCUGCUCCUUGCCACAGAUGUAAUAUUUAUGUUUGAAUCUUAGAAUAAGCCUUGGGAGUUUUAUUUUGGAUUUUUAUUGGCAAAGAGAUUUUCUUUUAGCUUGGGCUUUCUUAUUUUCCAGACUUCAACUGUUUUGUUUAUCUGAUUCUGUAUUUAUUCUUUGAUUCACUUAUGUCUUUUUUGCUUUCUGAUUCCUGCUUUCUCUUUCAUUUUCUUAGCUCUCAUCCCAAAAGAUUUUCUUACAGAAGAUAGGCAUAUUUCUAAGAAAACAGCUUAGGAAGUAGGUUUCUUGGAGCCUAGGUUUCGAUAAAUAAAAUGGCCCAGUAAAAAUAUAAGGAAUCAGUUCCAGACUAGGUUAAAUUCCUGAAAGACCUGCUAGAUCCUUGGCCUGCUACUUUCUAAUUUUUUAAUGCCAAUUAACACUUUCUUCAUUUGUGUGAUAGUAUCAGAAGCCUUUUAGAAUGUGAAGUUAUUUAAAGUUUUCAGAUAAUUGAAUGUCAGUGUCUGCUGUUUGACUUGGAUGGCCCAACCUCAACAAACUUUCCCUAAAAUUUUUCCUGAAAUAUAGUAGUCUCCCACAUUAUCAGGAGCUGUUAGAGAAGAAAGCUGAGCCUGUGCAUUGGUCCUAUGCAAAAGCAAGUCAAGAUGUCAAAAUUAAUUACUGCAGAUCUUUAAAAGGGAAAAAGUUAAAACAGUGCCCAGGACUUCAGCAUCAUUCAGAUGCUUUCAAAUAAUUACAUAAUGAAUAUGUAUUUACUGAUGUAUAAUUUAUUGUAUAUUUCAAACUUCCAAAAGAGCUGGAAAAGACUACCAGCCUAUAAAAACUGAUAGCACUGCAAUCAUACAUAGAUGCUUCUAAUUGUAGAGAAUUUUCCCAAAGUAGCAGUGUCAGUACUAAUGGGUGUGGUAAACUAGCAAAGUCAAUCCCUCUGAUUUUGAACCUAGGAACUCGUAUUGACCAAGGGAGCUGCUGCCACCCAAAGAGAAAUCCACAAGGGCGCUGUCUCCUCUUUCUCAGACUUCCAGCAAUUUCCCCCUCAGCAAUCCAAAAUGACCUGUUACAUGUAGGUAGAUUCUUGUGUUGCUGCACCUUUAACUUAAUUAUGGGCAUGAGAAAGCUGCCAGAAUUUGGUGAUGUAUAGGCAAGAAUGAAUAUCAAAUCUCUUCAGUUUGUGAAACGGUUAUGGUUGUUGAUUACUAAGGACAGUCUCCCUCAUUGUCAGUCUUCUGACACUGAGAUCUAGCGUCAACUUUGUUUCUCACUGCCAUGAAUUAUGUGGGUUCUGCUUUUGGGGACAGAAACAUAAUUUCUUGGUGUGUCUG
RNAcentral lists this long non-coding RNA (5030 nucleotides) under Macaca mulatta (Rhesus monkey). RNAcentral describes it as "lncRNA (ENSMMUG00000059184.1)". The record is from RNAcentral. Lineage: Eukaryota; Metazoa; Chordata; Mammalia; Primates; Cercopithecidae.